Long non-coding RNA from Mobula hypostoma (lesser devil ray), 2586 nucleotides. RefSeq lists it as uncharacterized. The transcript is spliced from 4 exons. The record is from RefSeq and is a predicted model, not a curated record. Lineage: Eukaryota; Metazoa; Chordata; Chondrichthyes; Myliobatiformes; Myliobatidae.
CACGUUUUACAUCGCCCUUAAUUCCCAUUAGUCCCGCAAAUCUCACCGUGGAUGCAUCUAUCCCUCUUAUUUAGUGUUUUCUUUGGUUUGCAACUUCUCUUUCACGCAGUGGACUCUCAUUACGAUGCAGAGCGCUUGGGGAAGAUGACAGAUGUUCCAGAAAACCUGACAACUCCCAAUGAACAGGAGCUGCAGACUGUCCAUGAUCAUGACCAAGAGAAAUGCAGGGAACAGCAUCAGCAGCUAUACCUAUAUUGACUGAUCUCACAAAAGCCUCUGACUCUCUUAACUGAGACAGGCAGUCACAAGACAAAGUAAUCUAACAGAACCCAUUAAAAGAAAGAAGACAAAUAGCCAAUGUGCAGAAAAAGAAACAAAUCGUGGAAACCAUAAAAGUAAGCAAGUAGCAAUCAGAAAUGAAAGUGAACCCACAGGCAUGAAGCCAGCAGCCCAUUCAGGAGCUACAGCCGCAGUUCAGACCAGAGGAUUACCAGAUGGAAAGAUGAUGAAAUAAUUCACGGGUAUUCUCAAAGUCUCCGUGACAAGGGUAAUAUCUCCAUUAACAAAUGGGAAUUCCUUGCUGGUGAUGGUCGAAAAUGGAGAAGGAACAUUCAGGACAGCUGUGAAAACCUUGAGUUCAUCCAAUAGAAGUUCACCAAACUUCACAGUAGAUGGUGGAAGUAGCACCUCCUUAACUACCCACCAUCACUUCAGGCACUUCCUGCUCCAUAUCUGGUGGGUCUGACAUUUAAACACCCAAUGAUCUUGAAGCUAACAGGCUGCAUAGUCCUUGACAAGAGGAACAGCAUAAGAGGAAGCAAUCAUGUUUGUAACAUUGAUAAAUCUCGAUCUCAGAAGGAAUAUUAAAGUUGAUAGUUGCCUCAAUAAUUGUUGGGCUGCCAAGUAGGAAAUAUAUUGACAGAAGUUUAAAAAUCAACACUUAUUCAAGAGGCCACAGAGAGGCAGGAGAAUUCUAGAGAACAACUAUCUGUUUGUAUGGGGAAAAUUGACAGAUGCAGAGAAGAGUGACUGGAAGAAGAAAAUGUGGGUCGUGCAUUUUCUAUUUCCAAUGCACAUUUUCUGAAAGAAGAGGCUCUUCUCCUUUGCCACAGGCCAAAAUGUUUGAAUAAGUGUUUAAAUGUUUUGCAUAUAAAUUAAUCUGACAAGUUUUGUUGGCACAUCUUUGUUCACAGCAAAUUUGUUGGCACUUCUACGUUCACACAAAUUUAAGGGAUAAUUUCCCCUUAGGUUGCCGGGGGAGUAAUGUUCUGGCGGUCCCUCUUGCUGGCUGCAGUGUUACCCCACAGCACUCUGCUUUCUGGAGCCAUUCCAGAUUCAGAGAAGCAACAGUAAUUGAUCCUAAAGCUGCAAAUGACAACUUGUAACUAACUCUGCUUGCAGACAGAAGGGAUCAAUGUUCACUUUCAGUGUCUGGCUCGAGUGGAUUACCGGAGCACAGAGACUACAGAGCCAGGUCCCUCCCAAAUGUGGUGAUUCUGAAUCUUCCCUGUUGCCACUGUCUCCCUGUGCAAAGGGGCGGUGGACAAGGACACUAGCUUGACCUGGGACCUAUCCAGCAGAGAGUUGCCAGUCUGUAUGCAAGGGAGUAAUUACCAGAUGGGACAUUGGAUUCCCUAAUAGAUAGGUCAAAUCACAGGCUGCAGAGUGAGACAUGGCAAGGUCUGAUGUGGGCCUGUGGACUUGUGUGAUUCGCUCUUAUUCCCCUUGGCCCAUAACCCAAGUUGCAAAUGCAUUUGUUUUGGGGUUGUGAACAUAAAAAUAAUGUGACAGAGGGUGUAGGCCAUUAAGCCUCUCAAUCGUGCGCCAGCACCCAAGUAGGUCAUGGCUAACCUCAUCUCUGCAUUGCUAGUUAUCCCUGGUAACCUUUCACCUCUUCUUGCUUAUCAACAAUCUAAUUCUGCCUUAAAGCCUUCGAUCAAUCUGAUUUCACUUCCCUUUCAGGAAGGGAUUUCCAUAGGGCUCUGAGACAUAUAAUAUCCCACAAUCUCUAUUUUAAAGUCUGGCACCUUAGUUUGAAAGAGUGAUCCUUCGUUCUGCAUUCUCUUGCAAAAAGAACCAUCUUUUCCAUUCUCCCACACAUUUCAUUGGUUCUCUCAAACUAUGUUGUGUUUAAACUUGGAAAAAAUUAGAAGUGUUGUUUAUGAUCCCUUUAUUAAAUUUGAAAAGACUUGGAGGCCAUUCAUUCAACAUUUUCAUAUGAUGUAAUUUGAUCUUUUCCAAACUUAUUCUAUUUCUAUGUAAUAUAUGUUGAGAGGAACUGAGUCGACAACACUAAUGGUUCCUUUUUUUAUGAUGUUACAUAACAGUUCAUGUCUUUUUUUUUCUUAGUUUAGUUGAUUAACACUGUUUAGGUUAGUUCUUUGGGGGGAUAUAUUUUUAUUUUUUUUCUUUUUCAUGUUUUUUUGUUAGAUUUUUUUUUGUUUUAUAUUGUUCAUCUGUAUCCUGUAUGAUUGGGAGAUCUAACACUCGUGUCAACUGGGCUUAUAUUUAACUAUGUUAAUUACAGCAAUGUAUUCCCAAUAACUUUGUAUCAAUAUUAUGGUAUGUUUAUUAUUAUGAAACUAA